This 240-nucleotide unclassified non-coding RNA is filed under the name soil metagenome. Its description in RNAcentral is "partial contains 5.8S ribosomal RNA, internal transcribed spacer 2, and large subunit ribosomal RNA". The record is from RNAcentral.
AACAUCGCGCACCUGCGGGAACCUGCGGAAGGAUCAUUAAUGAUUGGAGGCUGUUGCUGACUAGUGUUUCUAGUAUGUGCACGCCACACCUUCAAUCCCACUUACACCUGUGCACCUUCUGUAAUAGAUCUAUGUGGAUACGGAGAUAUGAAAGUUUGCGCUCUCGUACUCUGUUGAAGCAGUCUACUACGUUUUUUUACACACACACAAUAGUCAUUGAAUGUAUUUUUUAUUCUUAUG